Molecule: ribosomal RNA, 253 nt
Filed under: uncultured bacterium
Lineage: Bacteria
Description: partial 16S ribosomal RNA
Rfam family: Bacterial small subunit ribosomal RNA
Source: RNAcentral
UACGGAGGGUGCGAGCGUUAUUCGGAAUUACUGGGCGUAAAGGGCGUGCAGGCGGCCGAGCAAGUCUGAUGUGAAAGCCCGGGGCUUAACCCCGGAAGUGCAUUGGAAACUGCUCGGCUUGAGUACUGGAGAGGAAGGGAGAAUUCCCGGUGUAGAGGUGAAAUUCGUAGAGAUCGGGAGGAACACCAGUGGCGAAGGCGCCCUUCUGGACAGCUACUGACGCUGAGACGCGAAAGCGUGGGGAGCAAACAGG